GCUGGCGGCACGCCUAAUACAUGCAAGUCGAACGGAGUAGCAAUACUUAGUGGCAGACGGGUGAGUAACAUGUGGGUAUCUUCCCUUUGGUGAGGAAUAACACGAGGAAACUUGUGCUAAUACCUCAUAAGUCUUUACGGAGAAAGCUUUAUGCGCCGAUGGAUGAGCCCGCACUUGAUUAGUUUGUUGGUAGGGUAAUGGCCUACCAAGACUGUGAUCAAUAGCUGAUUUGAGAGGAUGAUCAGCCACAUUGGGACUGAGACACGGCCCAAACUCCUACGGGAGGCAGCAGUAGGGAAUCUUGCACAAUGGAGGAAACUCUGAUGCAGCGAUGCCGCGUGAGUGAAGAAGGCCCUUGGGUUGUAAAGCUCUUUCGUCGGGGAAGAAAAUGACUGUACCCGAAUAAGAAGGUCCGGCUAACUUCGUGCCAGCAGCCGCGGUAAUACGAAGGGACCUAGCGUAGUUCGGAAUUACUGGGCUUAAAGAGUUCGUAGGUGGUUAAAAAAGUUGGUGGUGAAAUCCCAGAGCUUAACUCUGGAACUGCCAUCAAAACUUUUUAGCUAGAGUUUGAUAGAGGAAAGCAGAAUUUCUAGUGUAGAGGUGAAAUUCGUAGAUAUUAGAAAGAAUACCAAUUGCGAAGGCAGCUUUCUGGAUCAUUACUGACACUGAGGAACGAAAGCAUGGGUAGCGAAGAGGAUUAGAUACCCUCGUAGUCCAUGCCGUAAACGAUGUGUGUUAGAUGUUGGAAAUUUAUUUUCAGUAUCACAGCGAAAGCAAUAAACACACCGCCUGGGGAGUACGACC
RNAcentral lists this ribosomal RNA (804 nucleotides) under uncultured Pelagibacteraceae bacterium. Its description in RNAcentral is "bacterial SSU rRNA". It matches the Rfam family "Bacterial small subunit ribosomal RNA", at positions 35 to 887 of the family's 1533-position model. The record is from RNAcentral. Lineage: Bacteria; Pseudomonadati; Pseudomonadota; Alphaproteobacteria; Candidatus Pelagibacterales; Candidatus Pelagibacteraceae.